Molecule: ribosomal RNA, 1220 nt
Filed under: metagenome
Description: bacterial SSU rRNA
Rfam family: Bacterial small subunit ribosomal RNA
Source: RNAcentral
UCAGUAGCUGGUCUGAGAGGACGACCAGCCACACUGGAACUGAGACACGGUCCAGACUCCUACGGGAGGCAGCAGUGGGGAAUUUUGGACAAUGGGCGCAAGCCUGAUCCAGCAAUGCCGCGUGAGUGAAGAAGGCCUUCGGGUUGUAAAGCUCUUUUGUCAGGGAAGAAACGGUUCGGGCUAAUAUCCUGGGCUAAUGACGGUACCUGAAGAAUAAGCACCGGCUAACUACGUGCCAGCAGCCGCGGUAAUACGUAGGGUGCAAGCGUUAAUCGGAAUUACUGGGCGUAAAGCGUGCGCAGGCGGUUGUGCAAGACAGAUGUGAAAUCCCCGGGCUCAACCUGGGAAUUGCAUUUGUGACUGCACGGCUAGAGUGUGUCAGAGGGGGGUAGAAUUCCACGUGUAGCAGUGAAAUGCGUAGAGAUGUGGAGGAAUACCGAUGGCGAAGGCAGCCCCCUGGGAUAACACUGACGCUCAUGCACGAAAGCGUGGGGAGCAAACAGGAUUAGAUACCCUGGUAGUCCACGCCCUAAACGAUGUCUACUAGUUGUCGGGUCUUAAUUGACUUGGUAACGCAGCUAACGCGUGAAGUAGACCGCCUGGGGAGUACGGUCGCAAGAUUAAAACUCAAAGGAAUUGACGGGGACCCGCACAAGCGGUGGAUGAUGUGGAUUAAUUCGAUGCAACGCGAAAAACCUUACCUACCCUUGACAUGUCUGGAAUCCUUGAGAGAUCAGGGAGUGCUCGAAAGAGAAUCAGAACACAGGUGCUGCAUGGCUGUCGUCAGCUCGUGUCGUGAGAUGUUGGGUUAAGUCCCGCAACGAGCGCAACCCUUGUCAUUAGUUGCUACGAAAGGGCACUCUAAUGAGACUGCCGGUGACAAACCGGAGGAAGGUGGGGAUGACGUCAAGUCCUCAUGGCCCUUAUGGGUAGGGCUUCACACGUCAUACAAUGGUACAUACAGAGGGCCGCCAACCCGCGAGGGGGAGCUAAUCCCAGAAAGUGUAUCGUAGUCCGGAUUGUAGUCUGCAACUCGACUACAUGAAGUUGGAAUCGCUAGUAAUCGCGGAUCAGCAUGUCGCGGUGAAUACGUUCCCGGGUCUUGUACACACCGCCCGUCACACCAUGGGAGCGGGUUUCACCAGAAGUGGGUAGCCUAACCGCAAGGAGGGCGCUCACCACGGUGGGAUUCGUGACUGGGGUGAAGUCGUAACAAGGUA